This 468-nucleotide ribosomal RNA is filed under the name uncultured bacterium. Its description in RNAcentral is "partial 16S ribosomal RNA". It matches the Rfam family "Bacterial small subunit ribosomal RNA", at positions 28 to 507 of the family's 1533-position model. The record is from RNAcentral.
GACGAACGCUGGCGGCGUGCUUAACACAUGCAAGUCGAACGGAAAGGCCCUGCUUUUGUGGGUUGCUCGAGUGGCGAACGGGUGAGUAACACGUGAGUAACCUGCCCUUGACUUUGGGAUAACUUCAGGAAACUGGGGCUAAUACCGGAUAGGACCUCCUGCUGCCUGGUGGGGGUUGGAAAGUUUCGGCGGUUGGGGAUGGACUCGCGGCUUAUCAGCUUGUUGGUGGGGUAGUGGCUUACCAAGGCCUUGACGGGUAGCCGGCCUGAGAGGGUGACCGGCCACAUUGGGACUGAGAUACGGCCCAGACUCCUACGGGAGGCAGCAGUGGGGAAGAUUGCACAAUGGGCGGAAGCCUGAUGCAGCAACGCCGCGUGCGGGAUGACGGCCUUCGGGUUGUAAACCGCUUUCGCCUGUGACGAAGCGUGAGUGACGGUAAUGGGUAAAGAAGCACCGGCUAACUACGUG